GAAGGUAUAGCACAGUGGGUAGAGGGUGUUCCUAGCACGCACGAGGUCCUGGGUUCAAUUCCCCAGUAUCUCCA
Molecule: transfer RNA, 74 nt
Filed under: Camelus bactrianus (Bactrian camel)
Lineage: Eukaryota; Metazoa; Chordata; Mammalia; Artiodactyla; Camelidae
Also listed under: 2 other names
Rfam family: tRNA
About the family: Transfer RNA (tRNA) molecules are approximately 80 nucleotides in length. Their secondary structure includes four short double-helical elements and three loops (D, anti-codon, and T loops). Further hydrogen bonds mediate the characteristic L-shaped molecular structure. tRNAs have two regions of fundamental functional importance: the anti-codon, which is responsible for specific mRNA codon recognition, and the 3' end, to which the tRNAs corresponding amino acid is attached (by aminoacyl-tRNA synthetases). tRNAs cope with the degeneracy of the genetic code in two manners: having more than one tRNA (with a specific anti-codon) for a particular amino acid; and 'wobble' base-pairing, i.e. permitting non-standard base-pairing at the 3rd anti-codon position.
Source: Rfam by way of RNAcentral